AUACUGACGGAGACAAUAAAUUGACAAAAAUAACGAGUUGGAAGGGAGAGAAUUUGUAACGUCUGAUCGAGUUGGCCAGAUACUUGAAGUUGGUCAUGUGUAACUUGAUAAAGUACCGAAUCCAUAACGUGUAUACGAUUAUUUCUAUUAGGGUUUAACAUAACAUAACAAUGUUGCACGGUAUUACAGAUAUCAUAUUCAACAACUUUUAAUUUAUCUUAUCACGAUUCAAGUUUAUUAUCGCUUUUAUAUAUUUUUUCGAUGUACAUUGCACUUUUUGCAGACUGUUCUCUGUGAUAUUACUUAUUUCUAGAAAGCUCGUAUCGCGUUUUACGAACUUUUUUACGAGACCCGUUAUAAUAAUAAGAGUAACGAGAGCGAAUCAAGUAAUAAUAAAACCCAACUUUACUGCAAAUUACGAAUUGGGAGAAUAAAUUGUUCGGAGAGUGAAUUAGUUUCAGAUACUGAAUUUAUGGAAUAAUAUACUGCGUCCCGUAAGAAUCACCGUCCAAGUAUUAUUCGAAUGAAAGUUUAUUUUCACAACGUUCGAUAUUGCUGGCCCACCGCUUUAUAUGCAAAAAGGAAGGAAUAUCUACCAUUAUUUAAAAGUACGACCUCUUUCCCAUUGUAAAUUGCAACGAACGGUACGCGAAAUUUUUCCUUCUAAAGUGGAGUUAGGUUGUUUCGCUACUCAUCGAUUUUAUGCAAAGUUAUUUGCUUGGCCUAUUUCUCAAAGAGGAGCAGCUAAAAAGCGCGCAUUGAAAUAGUGAACCUUUUUCAUAUGCAAUUGAAAAGAAAGCGUAAAAUUAUUAAAUUAAAUGUCGAAAAAUAAAAUAAAAAAUAAAAUUAACGUAUAAACUUGGAAUCGAUAUUAAAAAAGUACAUUCAAUAAUUUUUCCUCCUCCUCUCUAAAAAGUAAUUAAUAAGUUUUUCCAUGCUUUGAUCUGCGUGGAAAUGACAAGCAAAUUGUUUCAAAUACGCAAGCAAUGGUGGAAGCACAAUCAUUUCCCUCUUUCUAUCAGUUUCUCACUUUUCAUACCGGCUGAUCGCUUUUUAAAUUCAUCACUCAUUCAUUCCCAUUUUAUUCGAUGAAACGAAUACAGAACUCAGCAGCUGGCGCGACUCCAAUUCACUCUUAUCUAUCAGUCACAGAAUAAUAUUGGGAGGCAUCGUAGAAUUAAUUUUAUUGAAAAUAAAUGCCACGAUCUGUAACAAUGUUUCAUUUCCAGAGAAAGAUGGUUAAUCGAUUGUUACAAGGUAUUAGAUAAAUAACAUCCAUGAAUUGAUUGCAAUGAUUCGCUAUAAAUUUAAACUUGAUUAAACAUAAAGGUUAGAUUAUUCCGUUCCGUAUGAUUGCACGAUUGUUUUUAUCUACGUCGCGUUUUAAUCAAUAUGUCUCUAGUUUAAUGAAGACCAGUGCUGUUUAAUACUCUAAUCAAGCCAUAUUUAACUGAAUAAACAAUGACGGCGCAUAUAAUUAAGUUCAAUUAGUGGCGAAACAAUUUUAUUUUUGAUACUGGGAAAUGGAUUUUAAUGUACAAUUAAAAUUCAAGUCCAUGUACUGAGCAUCUGUAAAUUUAUAAUAAAGCUGCAUAAUUGAGAACAGAGAGUUGUAUAAUGAAGUUACAGUGUAUUACGGAUGCACCACUACAUUAAAUGAAGAAUAUUGCGUUGAAUACACAAAUUUUCCAUUAGCCCGUGUUUCGGAAAAAAUCGUUCACAAAUGACUUGAGAAUUGUUUUAAACGCUAAAUAUCUAUUACAACGUCGUUUAAUACAAUAAAAAAAAAAGAGAGAGAAAAUGAACGAAUCAUAUUUGAAAAUUUGAAAAGAACAAAAUCUUUAAAAAAAAAAAAUCUCAUUUCCUAUGUACGUAGCAACUGAACGAAAUGAAAUUUUUAACCGUGAUUGUCGUGGAGAACAUUUUGUGUAAAUUGGCAACGUUCGAGUUUCAGGUACAAAUAUUUAAAUGAAACACGUGUUCAAAUUCACGCUGCACAUACAAAACAGAUGCCCCACGUCGUCGUCCCAUCGUUCCUCUCUCUCAUUCUCGCCAACGAUAGACCAAUUGUGGGAGAAACAAGAAUAUAUUAUAUAGUAUAUAUGUAUAGGUAUAUACCGUUGGAUACUCGUUUUCUCUUUCUGUUGCGAGUUUUCAAGCAAUUUAGUCAUGCAAAGGCUGAAUCACUUCGUAUAUUAUUCGAAUUGAAAAAUAUCGUAAUGCUGUUACCUUCGUAAAUAAAGCCGUCCUGAUUCGAAUGUCUGCAUUGGCGUAGCAAUGAAAUUUUUAUUGAAUUAUUUAUCAAUAUAUAUAUAUAUAUAUAUUUACAGAAAUAAAACAAACGAUAACUGUAUCGUAAAAAUAAUAACAGUGACUAAAUGCAAAUCGAUGGAGUUUUAUAUUAUAUAAAUUAUAUUAUAUAAAUUAUAAAUUCAGAAUACAACGCUAUACAAUUUGUGUUUCAUGAUUUAAUAACGUAUUUCAAUUUAGGAUGAUUAUUUAUAAUUAACAUGCUGGUGGAUUAAAGUUAGCACAAGGAUUACUAGUAUUAACUGUGUAAUUUCUAUCUUCGAGUGAGUAAUAAUAACAUUUCAGCCAGAGAUUUAUUUUACGACCCGCUCUGUAGAGACUGUAAUACAGAUAUUGAUCUGCCUGGCAUUUAAUGUCACUCACAAUGUUAUUCCAACUAAUACAUAUAGCGCAGGAAUUUCAAUAAUUAAUGCGCAUAUCUCGAGUUAUUUUUGAAUUAAUCAACAGCUCGAACUUGUUAAUAAUUAGGAUCUGAUGAAAAAUAUAAUUUGUGAAUUAUAAAAUCGAAUUUUUUGUUAAAAUCAAAUCAACAAUAAAUAAAAUGCAUUAUCAACAUUCGAUGAUAUUUAAAUAUCAUUUGAAUUAAAUAACACUUGCCUUCGGAAUAAAUGGAUUGUAUUUUUGGUUAAUUUUUAUAGGAAACCAUAAAUGGAAGUAUGCCAAAUUAAAGCCAAGUAACGUGGCUUUUAAUUAGAAGCUUAAGACCGUUAAGAUCGUGUGGCUUCCUUGUAAAUUUACGACUUAUGUAUAUGUAUAUUUUGUAUUAUAUAGAUGUUUCAGCAGUUCUCAAUCGAUGAAAAUACAUUUUCUUUUCUCGACACAAAAAUAAAAGAAAUUACAAAUUAAAAUCAAUAAUUAACUUUAAUAUAUAGAUAAAUUUUAUUGAAUAUAAAAUGGCAAAGAAUGAAAUCAAAAUCGAAAAAUUAAUUUUCGAUUAUUUGCAUUUAUAUGAAUAAUAUUUUGAAUAAAAGGAUUAAAUACACCAACGUAUGAGACAGAGAAUUGAUUUUUCUAGUUAUUGUUAUUAUAUUUCCAACGACUAAAAUUACAGUUUGCAUCUACAGUCGGUAUAAAAGUAAGUCAGAUAUAUUGGUUAUCGACAGAGUAUUAAAUAUAAAAGAGAUAAACAGAAAUGAAAGCAAUUGAAUUGGACUGUAUUGCUAUUGAAUUGUAUUUUUCAAUGACACAACUGAUCUAAUAUGCACGACAUAGAUAUAUAUAUAUAUACAUAAAUAAUUAAUUUUAUAUUUCCAAGUUGCAUCAUGGUAAAUCUACAUUUUUAUAAUAUUUUUUAAUUACGAUAAAAAUAUUUGAAAAAACAUAUAUAUUAUAUUAAAAUAAUAAUUAACUUUAUUCGAAUAUAUUUUUAUUUAGAUAUUGAAAAAAUUUAAAAACAUUUUUAAAUAUCAUAUAUAAUUAUGCAUUACAUUCGUCGAACAUGUAACGAAGUGAAUAAUUUAUGAAAGCAAAUGAACGAUCGAUCGCAUAGAUUUCAGCUAUAAAUCAAAAGUUUCCAGAGGAUUAGAUAGCAGAUAAUUAAUCGAUUGUAUAAGAAUAAAGAAGCAAAAAAUAACCUAACAUAAUGAUUUGUUUUAAAAUAUGUUUAAAAAAACAUUUCUUAAAAGUUUAUUAAUUUUAAUUUACUAUAUAAGAAAAUCUAUAUUCUCUGAAUAAAUAAUUUAAUAAUUCUUUCUUCAACAUGAGAAUCAUGUAAGUUAUUGCGCGAUAAAUCGAUAAAUUGUCAAUCCGGCUUGUUCCACGGACAUCCGUAAUUUAUCGAACGUCGCGUCUUCGAUCUUCGAUAUUCAAAUUACAUCGUUUCCAAUGUCUUCAAAAUGGUAGAUCGAGUAAUAAGUCUGUCCAUUUUUGGUGAUGUAUACUCUUUAAAGAAUGUGAUAAAAAUGUUUUAGCAUCAACGAAUAAAUAUUUUUUCUAAAAAAAAUAAUAUUUAAAUAUCCUUGAUAAUUAAAUGGAUUUUAUAUAAAAGUAAUAUAACAUCAUUUAAUAUACUUUCAAGAAACGCAACAAACGAAGUUAUUAUUCAAUUUAAUAAUACUUUCAUCAUCUUCCUUUUAAUAAUUAUAAAAAUGCUACCACUAUUUUUAACGUCAAUCAUAAUUUCGUAAAAAUUGAUUUUCAACAUACACAUGUAGCUAAAUGUUGACGAUAAAAUGAAAUUAACAAAAUUGGCGCUUGCGCAAGAUAGAGAGUGAGCAACAAUGAACAAAGACGAGUCACGAUCGCUGGAAUCAAUUACUGUAUAAACAGUAAACCAGCUAUCCUCUAUAAUAGUUUAUCCUCCCUAUAAAAUCCAUACCUCUGUAAUUCAAGAGUAUCAACAGAAAUCCCAAUGUAAUUUUCUCUGGCGAAUUCACCCUCUUCCCCCAUCGCGGCUGCCACCUUAAAGGAGAUACCAUCGACAGCAAAAGAUUCCAAUAUUCCUGCGCACGCAACGCCGUUUACACAGUUUUUUUUGUGCAACUCGUUCACCGAGUAUACGCUAUCAUAGUGUUUGUGUUCUGUUGUUACGAGUGUAUUGCACACAUAUGCUAUCCUAGUCGAGCGAGAGACCGCGCUAUACCAUUUAUGUUAGAUGGAAUAGGACGGAAAGUAAGCACUAGAUAGGGAUAGCGCGAGUCGGUGAGUUAAAGAGUAAGCGAAACGGAUAGACAAAUGGAGGGACAUGGCCAAACAUUAAGUGCAAGAGAGACAGAUAAUAGAACGAGAAGGGGAUUAAAAAGAAGACGCCGAACGAAUAAAGGGCUAACGGAAGAGAAUAGAGAGAGAGAGAGAGAGAGAGAGAGAGAGAGAGAGAGAGAGAGCAGAGAAGGACAAAUAGAGGAAAGCCAGUGUGGGCAAAUAGAGAAGAGUAGAUAAGAAAAUAACAGGUAAAAGAGGAUAAAGGAACAGAUGGAGCGAAUGAUGGAACAAGAGAGAAGGCAAGUGAUGCCGUGAAAAGUAAAAGAGUUAAAAAGAGAUCAAAACGGUAAAGAAAAAAAGAAGAGAGAGAAAGAAAUUGACGCGAAUCCUGACAAAGAGGAGAAAUUGGAAGUUGGAAAACAGAAGUAAGGGAAGACAAAACGAAGAUGAACGAUGAAAGAACGAGAGAGCAACAGGGAUCCGGAGCAAUUGAGCGCGGGUGCGCGUGUAUGAGGUACUAAACUCGUUUAACUGUGUGAACGAUAAUUGGCACAUGAAUCAUGCAUUUGGUUGUAGCAUGUCACUUGGUGUACGUUCCACUCAGGCAACUUUUCGAGCGUACGCAUGCACGCACCGUCAUUAUUAUGCAUACAACGCAAAAUAAUUAUCGUAAACGCGAAUCAAGCUGCGCUCUAUUUGCAUUUUCCACACUAAUAGCAAACUUCUGAAACUUUAUCAACCUGUCAAGAAAUUAGCCAAAAAUUUAAGUUAAUCUUAGUUUUCUAUUUCUCAUCUCUUUUGACUCAACGAAAUGUUUCAACUUUGAUAUUAGAAUGUUAGAAUCCCCGAUAUAUCGUCGAAAUAGAUAGAAAAUUUUUCAGAGAUUUUUUUUUAUUUCUGCAAUUAUUAUUAAAUACAUCCAUAUGAAUAUUUAAAUCAACGUCAACUUUUAUUCAAAUAAAAUUACAAUUGUAUCAAUAUUAUGUAAUUAUACAUCGAUAUAUUUUCAUUAUAUUAUUUUAAUCUUUUGAAGGAUAUAAUAUUGAUUGCGCACACGUGUUAUUGUUUUUUAAUCCAAGUAUAAAUACGAUAAUCACGUACGAAUUAUUCUCUCGUAUAAUUUAAAAUUUAUUUUACUAUUUUCCAUCGCGUUUAAUAUUUUUUGAAUAUUCAAUCUUUAAUCGCCUUAAUAAUUUUGUUCCAUAAAAGGUUAAUUAUCAUUUACAUAUAUAAUAUAUUGAGUUAGAUACUAAGCGACGAUAGUUCCAGUAUAUAAAAUGAAAAAUUUAUCCACCGUGUUGUAAAAUAUUUCAAAUAAAAUUGAACAUAAAUUAUACGAUAAUGGCAGCCAUUUUCUACGACGACCGUUUAAGGAUCGAUCUCAUUAUAUUUAAAAUUUUCUAACUGAAGACAAAUGCAGAUCGCAUCGAGAGAUUAGAAAAUAAUAUUGCUUAUACAGUAAGUAAUUUAAUCGAAGAACGAAGGAUAUUUCGAUUCAUUUAAGAUAAGAUAAUUCCAGGAAAAAUUUCCGUGCUAUGGCACGUCGUUGACAUACCUCAUUGAAUAACAUCCAAGAUCGAAUUCAGAUCACGUAGAUCAGAGGAAGGAUAUGUAUAUGGUGCAAUAUAACUCAAGUUACUUCGCUAUAGAACCGUUUUAUCUAAAUUACAACGACCUAGCUUCACCAGUCAGCGUCUUGAGUUUAGUUUCGAACCUACUGACGAAGACAGUGAAUAGACACAAGGAGUGGAAGCAAGAAAGAUAUAGUCCCUCGUCGAGUGUUCAUACUCUUGAAAUAAAAUUGCUACUUGCACCGUGAGAAUUAUAAUGCUAUCUAUAUUUAUUGAAUUUUAAACAUGAAUGUAAAUAUUACAUAAAAAUAAGAAAUAUAAUAUUCAAAAAAUACAUUUUUUGACAUAUUCUCUCUUCUAUAGCAUAUUUAAAUCUAUCUAAAAACUAAAAUUCAUAUCAUAGAAACGCGGAUCAAAAUCUCAG
Molecule: long non-coding RNA, 6945 nt
Organism: Apis cerana (Asiatic honeybee)
Lineage: Eukaryota; Metazoa; Arthropoda; Insecta; Hymenoptera; Apidae
Source: RefSeq, a predicted model, not a curated record